This 71-nucleotide transfer RNA is filed under the name Camelus dromedarius (Arabian camel). It matches the Rfam family "tRNA". From Rfam's summary of the family: Transfer RNA (tRNA) molecules are approximately 80 nucleotides in length. Their secondary structure includes four short double-helical elements and three loops (D, anti-codon, and T loops). The record is from Rfam by way of RNAcentral. Lineage: Eukaryota; Metazoa; Chordata; Mammalia; Artiodactyla; Camelidae. RNAcentral also lists the same sequence under 1 other name.
AGGGAAAGAGCUCAGUGGUAGAGCACUGCUUAACAUGCAUGAGGUCCUGGGUUCAAUCCCCAGUACCUCCA